This 467-nucleotide ribosomal RNA is filed under the name Strasseria geniculata. RNAcentral describes it as "eukaryotic LSU rRNA". The stretch from base 145 to 298 matches the Rfam family "5.8S ribosomal RNA". Lineage: Eukaryota; Fungi; Ascomycota; Leotiomycetes; Phacidiales; Phacidiaceae. The record is from RNAcentral.
GGGGUAGACCUCCCACCCUUUGUUUACAAUACCUUUGUUGCUUUGGCGGCCCCGUCGCAAGACAACCGGCUCCGGCUGGUCAGCGGCCCCAGAGGACUCAAAACUCAUAUUAUUAUUGUCGUCUGAGUACUAUAUAAUAGUUAAAACUUUCAACAACGGAUCUCUUGGUUCUGGCAUCGAUGAAGAACGCAGCGAAAUGCGAUAAGUAAUGUGAAUUGCAGAAUUCAGUGAAUCAUCGAAUCUUUGGACGCACAUUGCGCCCCCUGGUACUCCGGGGGGCAUGCCUGUUCGAGCGUCAUUACAACCCUCAGGCUCUGCUUGGUAUUGGGCGUCACCCCCGAGUGCGCCUUAAAAUCAGUGGCGGUGCCGUCUGGCUUCAAGCGUAGUAAUACUUCUCGCUUUGGAGUCCGGGCGAGCGUCCUGCCAAAACCCCCAUAUUUUUACAGGUUGACCUCGGAUCAGGUAGG